UAUUAGCAUUAGCCAUAGUUGUACUGAUUGAUCACUCAUUUCCUCAAACUUCCAUAACCCUUUUGACCAAAUUGUAUUAGAAGUUUGAUGUAAAGAUACCCUUAUUGUUUCUAAGUUGUGAUCUUGCUACUAUCAUUGUUUAAUUGAAGGGAA
Long non-coding RNA from Hibiscus syriacus, 153 nucleotides. RefSeq lists it as uncharacterized. Lineage: Eukaryota; Viridiplantae; Streptophyta; Magnoliopsida; Malvales; Malvaceae. The transcript is spliced from 3 exons. The record is from RefSeq and is a predicted model, not a curated record.